This is a non-coding RNA of Procambarus clarkii (red swamp crayfish), 478 nucleotides long. NCBI's taxonomy places the organism in Eukaryota, Metazoa, Arthropoda, Malacostraca, Decapoda, Cambaridae. The record is from RefSeq and is a predicted model, not a curated record.
GGUGUACCAGAUGUGGCCAUAGGGGACCGAUCGAGCGACAAGCUGCAGAACGCCAUAUAUUUUGUCAUAGAUGGAGACCAGAUGGACGUCUUGGAGUUGCUGACGCAGCAGGGUGAAGACCAUUGGCUUCCAUGGUAACAAAAACGACCAUUAUUGCACAUUGCCUGUGAAUGGGGCGCUUGGAACUGUGUGAAGCACCUGGUUCUGGAGAGAUCGGACGAGAUCAACCAGUGCUACGAUGAGUACUACCCUAUUCAUCAAGCUGCUCUCCGUGACCUCGGAUUUCUCGAUCUGCUUAUCCAGUGCUGCGCAGAAACCACCGUGUGCGCAUACACGCAUCAGAUGACCGUUCUCCACUUAGUUUUCCUCCUGGGUACAAAGAGUGCCGAGGACACGUUGGAGACUGAAAUUGUUCCUACAGCACGGCCUCAAAGAGCGCACAAACACUGCCGACUCUCAGGAAUACACCAGUCCACGC